UAGUCAUAUGCUUGUCUUAAAGAUUAAGCCAUGCAUGUGUCAGUUUAAAUAGUAUACAGUGAAACUGCGAAUGGCUCAUUAAAACAGUUAUAGUUUAUUUGAUAUUUAUUUUUACAUGGAUAACUGUGGCAAUUCUAGAGCUAAUACAUGCGUUAAGACCUUAAGGUUGUAUUUAUUAGAUAUCAAGCCAAUUCAUAUUGAUGAUUCAUAAUAACUGAUCGAAUCGAGGGACUCCUCGAUAAAUCAUUCAAGUUUCUGCCCUACCAGCUUGAUGGUAGUGCAUUGGACUACCAUGGCAGUCACGGGUAACGGAGAAUUAGGGUUCGGUUCCGGAGAGGGAGCCUGAGAAACGGCUACCACAUCUAAGGAAGGCAGCAGGCGCGUAAAUUACCCAAUCCCGAUUCGGGGAGGUAGUGACAAGAAAUAACAACUCGGGAACUCACGUUCUACGAGAUUGCAAUGAGGACAAUUUAAAUCACUUAGCGAGGAACAAUU
RNAcentral lists this ribosomal RNA (495 nucleotides) under uncultured eukaryote. Its description in RNAcentral is "bacterial SSU rRNA". It matches the Rfam family "Eukaryotic small subunit ribosomal RNA", at positions 21 to 549 of the family's 1831-position model. The record is from RNAcentral.